Molecule: long non-coding RNA, 471 nt
Organism: Syngnathoides biaculeatus (alligator pipefish)
Lineage: Eukaryota; Metazoa; Chordata; Actinopteri; Syngnathiformes; Syngnathidae
Exons: 3
Source: RefSeq, a predicted model, not a curated record
CUCGCUGGACUUGACCGUUCCGGUGUUGACGCAGCAAAUGACCGCCGUUUGUGUGUUCUUGCCUAUUGUAUUGAUUUUCUUCUCCAUCUUCUUACUUUUUUUUCCCGCAUUUCGCGUCCGUCCGACUUUGUCCUCCAGAUGUCUGCGUGAACUCCAGUUGCUCCCCCGACGCUGUCACCCGACAUCAUCGCUCUUCGUUGACGCAAAAAAUUAGAACAAUUUCAUUUUCUUAUGAAAAUGAAAACGUGGCGAUGGGUCAGCGGUUCAAAUCCCAGCUGCGACUCUCCGCUGCCGACGUGUCCUCGGGAGAGAGACUAGACCCUAUGUUGCAUCCAGGAUGGCGGCGAGGUGGGGGUCUUUGAUGGUCUUCACGUUCCUUUAUGGAGUGACCCUGAGGUGGAAGUGGAGCGGCUGGUCACCUGCGGGAGGACACGGCUCAAGUUCAUGGCGCUCAAGCGGAAUAGAUGAAUG